GCCGGUAUAGCUCAAGUGGCAGAGCACAUGCUUAGCAUGCAUGAGGUCCUGAGUUCACUCCCCAGUACCUCCU
Molecule: transfer RNA, 73 nt
Filed under: Camelus bactrianus (Bactrian camel)
Lineage: Eukaryota; Metazoa; Chordata; Mammalia; Artiodactyla; Camelidae
Also listed under: 2 other names
Rfam family: tRNA
About the family: Transfer RNA (tRNA) molecules are approximately 80 nucleotides in length.
Source: Rfam by way of RNAcentral